AGAUUGAUGAACAUUGGAUUUGUUGACAAGAAGAAAAAUAUAGAAAAUUGCCAGACCAAUCCUUUAAGGUUUGUGACAUCCCAAUGUAAAGAAGACGCCAUCUUUGAGUCAGUUCCUUUAAUAAACCAUGAGCUGAAUCUAAAUGUCCACCCUGUCAGACUUCAGUCGGACAUACUGUGACGUGUUCACCACCAUCAGUCUGCGAGGACGCCGGGUCGCGAGGGGAUAAAAAUGUGCAACAAAAUGGGGACUUAAGACCUCAAGUGUUUCCAUGGAGAUGAAAUGAAACUCCUGACUCUAUAAUUCAUUUCAAAGUGGUCUUAAUGGUUUCAAUAUGUGCAGGUCUGCUGCUUUACACGGUUCACUGAGAUUCAACCUUUACAUGAGCUGCUAAACACUGCUGACAACCUUCACACUGUAGACGGACUAAAACUAAUAUUCUGUGGAACUGCAUAAAUAAACUUUCAACAAAAAUGAAAAAAAAACAAAUGUCAUCAAAGCUAAAUAUGGUUCAUCAUCAUCAUCACAUCAAUAUUACUGAGGAUUAUUGGUAAUUGUUUGAGUGAAGUCUGGUUAAAAAUCUGGUUAAAACGUCAUACAGACUGUAAGUGUCCAACGUCUGAAAUAUACCAACACAAUGAAAACUAAUGUUGAAUUCAGUUCCCUGUACACUUCCAAUUUAAUUAAGUCACAGAGAGCAGCAUCAUAUGAUGACUGACUUUUAAAACUGAGAAAACGUAAAUGUGACAGUUUGACAGAACAGUCGUUGAUUCAAUUAAAUAGUUUAUGAGACUUAAUUCUUCAACUUACGUUCAGUCAACUCACAGUUUUAAGGCAUCUGGAGAAUUUAAGUUUUUAUAGUGUUUUUGUGCUUUUUAAUAUUUAUUUUAACAGGUAAGAAACAUCAGGAAACACGCAGAUUAAUAAUCAGCUUCUUCUGUAGAUUUCUCUUCAUGAUAAUACUCAUACACACACUAUAAAGACAUUUAAAUCUUUGUAUGUAUAUUAUUCUUCCAAGAGAAUGAAGGUUGCUGCAAAUGUGACGACAUUUAUGAGAUUUUAAGGCUUUUUCAUCAUUAAAACAAACACACAGUGUAUAAGAAUCAGCUGGUCUCACGCAGAAACUCUGAUGUGAUGCAAAUGAGAACAAAAACACCAAAUAAUCACCCACACUGGCAGAUUUAUGCAUCUUUUUCUAUUAAAAUAACACAUCAAAGGCUCAGAAAAACAAAAUUCUUCCUCUUCAGUUCUUCCUCCGUCUCUUCCAGCAGUGUUUCCUGUCACUAAAUCCCAUUCCGAAGCUUAGAAACAUCCAAAAAUCAUCAGUUUAGAUGUUUUCUUUCUAAAGUUUUCUUUCUCUGCAAGGUCACAAACACAAUCACAGGCUCCCCGACUCGUCUUCGACUCGUCUUCUAACUUUGUGAUCGUCCCGCUCCUCCAGCUGAGCGUCUCCUCGUCCUCUGCAGGCCGACCCGCUGAGGCCCCGGAGCCUUCGUCUUUGUUCCUUCCCUCCGUCCUCUCCCCCGCCGGGAUAAGCUUUUAGCUGCAUCCUAGCUGCGCAGGCUAACCGCCACGCAGCAGCUCUCACAGGCUCCUCGCUGUUCCAGCCAAAUGCCGCCACACAACACCAUAUAAUUAAGAGCUCUGAAUGCGAGCAGGCAAAUGCAAAGCAAUUUGGGAUGAGGCGAGAGGCUGAGAGAGACGGAGGAGGCAGGAGGGGGAGGAGGACAGCGGCGAGCCAACAGCCGUUUCAAUCUAAUUGGGCCAUAUCAAUUUAUUUCACAUUUCUGAAAUGUCACGCCUUGAUGUGAAGCUAACCGAAUUUGCAUACGUGCCGCAGCAUGUUUUUACCUCAGCAGCAGAGUGUGGACGAAAUAAAUAGAGACAGGAAUAAAUAGAGGAGAAGAGACGGCGGAGGGAAAUGCCAGAACCUUUCUGCCUCCGGCUGAGCGCCGCGGACCGGCGAGGGUGUGGCGACGCCGCCGCCGCAUCGCCUGAUGUUUCCAAAUGAUGUUUCCUGAUGGAGCGUCGGCUUUUAAACACAGGCGGUGGCGGAGGUGACACAUCUACUGCAGAGCUGAGAGAAGAAAUUCAACACAACAACAGCAAUAUGCAGCAAAUUCACUGGAGUCAAAGUUCUAGUGUUAUUUUAGGCUAAUUUAGAGGGAAGUGUUGAGGUUCUGGUGCUGGUUCUGAGGAAUUAACUCCAGUACCAGUACAUCCAGAGAGAACCUAAUGUUGAACAUCACAGAGUUUACCCUAUUCAACACCUACGAGUGUUUCAACAUCGGGCAUUUGGGCAGCUGCAGUUGGAAGGAAUUUGCUUCUUUGCAUCUCUUGACUUGUAGAAGUCAAGAAGAUCAGGAGGGUUUUCAUUCAGAAAAUCAACCUUCAGGUAAGUUUUAAUCUAUUAAGUUGCUGUAAUGUAAAUAAGACCAUGUAAUUGAUGCACCUGUUGUAUUUCACUGAUAUUCAGUAAAGCUUUAGAAUCGAGGUCAUAACAACCAAGACGGCAUAAAGACGCCUCUCUGUGUUUUACAGUGUGUUUGUUUGGAAGCAUACAAAGACAUCACAAUCAUCACAUGAGGUGUGAAGAGCAGUAUGUAAAGUAAAAGACAAUAUUUAUUCAUAAUUAAAACAGCAUUGAAAGGAUGUCUGAAGAGAUUUCAUGUUGUCUUCCUCCUCCUCUUCCUCUACAGCCUGAUGUUGUAAAUGGAAAAAAGAAAUGAAAAUGAAAGAAAUGCAUCAAAUUACAAGCAGCUCAUUUUGAAGGUAAACUUCCCAGCUGGUAUAUAAAUAACCAGUGAUUCAAACUGAGUUUAAGUUAUUAUAUUGUGUAAUUUAAACACUUGUGAGAAGUUCUCCAUCUGUGGACAAGAUGACGGAGGAAGAUGAUUCUGGUACCGAGGUGGAUGAAACAGUCAUGAUGAUGGUAAAUUUAAAAUAUAUUUAUAUUGCAUUAGUGGUCGUUGGAGAUUCAACCACUGCAAUGACUUAAUUAUCUUACAUCCAGUUUAGCAUAUAAAAUAUUAAGACACCUGUUGGAAAAGGUUUAACUUGAAGUAACGGGUUUCAUUGAUAAGUAAUUGGUUAAAAAAGCACAAAAUGCAUCAAAGCAAAGCAGAAGUUUUCUCUAUUGAUCCUUCAUCAUUCAAUCAGGAAAGAUACAUGCGGCGUGUUUGCGUGGCUGAAAGCAGACGUCACGUCCAGAGCUGAAUACAAGAUUUUAUCCACAUUUCACCUGCAAACAGACAGACUGUUACUGUUACUGAGAUCUCAAAGCCAGCGGAGUGAAUUAGAAGUGAUGAAGAGGGAUUGCAGAGUUCUUCAGCCAGAGAGACACGGAGCCAAAUCCAGAACACACUGUUGAUCCUUGUUAGAGGUUCACAUGUGUGACAGUAGAAGAAGAAGGUUAACCUUCCUGCAGCUCACGUGGUCGAGACUGAAGGUAAGAUAUAGGUUAAAGGUGAGUGUAAGGAUGAGCAGAACUGUGUGACGAUUACGGACAUUUAACUGAACUUUUCUUUUUUUUUCAUUUUAAAUAAAUUCCCAUAGUGCAUCAUUACUAAAAUUAACGAAGGCAGUCAGAAAUGUGGAUUUAGAGCUGAAUUAUCAGUAGUUUCUUACUAGUCACCUUGUUGGAUUGUGAAACAGGUGAGACUAGAGAAGAAAACAGCAGUGUUAGUGUUGGUCUCAGAUCUGCAGUCGACUCAUUUUACUGCAGUAAUGUUAAUAACUGUCUGAUCCAUAUGAAGUCAUAUCAGAUACUUGA
Molecule: long non-coding RNA, 3772 nt
Organism: Thunnus maccoyii (southern bluefin tuna)
Lineage: Eukaryota; Metazoa; Chordata; Actinopteri; Scombriformes; Scombridae
Exons: 3
Source: RefSeq, a predicted model, not a curated record